RNAcentral lists this ribosomal RNA (460 nucleotides) under uncultured bacterium. RNAcentral describes it as "partial 16S ribosomal RNA". It matches the Rfam family "Bacterial small subunit ribosomal RNA", at positions 338 to 795 of the family's 1533-position model. The record is from RNAcentral.
CCUACCGGUGGCAGCAGUGAGGAAUAUUGGUCAAUGGGCGCGAGCCUGAACCAGCCAAGUAGCGUGAAGGAUGACUGCCCUACGGGUUGUAAACUUCUUUUAUAAAGGAAUAAAGUGAGGCACGUGUGCCUUUUUGUAUGUACUAUAUGAAUAAGGAUCGGCUAAAUCUGUGACAGCAGCCGCGGUAAUACGGAGGAUCCGAGCGUUAUCCGGAUUUAUUGGGUUUAAAGGGAGCGUAGAUGGGUUGUUAGGUCAGUUGUGAAAGUUUGCGGCUCAACCGUAAAAUUGCAAUUGAUACUGGCAGUCUUGAGUACAGUAGAGGUAGGCGGAAUUAGUGGUGUAGCAGUGAAAUGCGUAGAUAUCAGGAAGAACUCCGAUUGCGAAGGCAGCUUACUAAGCUGCCACUGACAUUGAUGCUCGAAAGUGUGGGUAUCAAACAGGAUUAGAUACCCUUGUAGUC